RNAcentral lists this ribosomal RNA (685 nucleotides) under Streptomyces sp. PanSC19. RNAcentral's name for it is "bacterial SSU rRNA". It matches the Rfam family "Bacterial small subunit ribosomal RNA", at positions 98 to 797 of the family's 1533-position model. The record is from RNAcentral. Lineage: Bacteria; Bacillati; Actinomycetota; Actinomycetes; Kitasatosporales; Streptomycetaceae.
GCGAACGGGUGAGUAACACGUGGGCAAUCUGCCCUUCACUCUGGGACAAGCCCUGGAAACGGGGUCUAAUACCGGAUACGAGUUCGGGAGGCAUCUCCCGGACUGGAAAGCUCCGGCGGUGAAGGAUGAGCCCGCGGCCUAUCAGCUUGUUGGUGGGGUAAUGGCCUACCAAGGCGACGACGGGUAGCCGGCCUGAGAGGGCGACCGGCCACACUGGGACUGAGACACGGCCCAGACUCCUACGGGAGGCAGCAGUGGGGAAUAUUGCACAAUGGGCGCAAGCCUGAUGCAGCGACGCCGCGUGAGGGAUGACGGCCUUCGGGUUGUAAACCUCUUUCAGCAGGGAAGAAGCGCAAGUGACGGUACCUGCAGAAGAAGCGCCGGCUAACUACGUGCCAGCAGCCGCGGUAAUACGUAGGGCGCAAGCGUUGUCCGGAAUUAUUGGGCGUAAAGAGCUCGUAGGCGGCUUGUCACGUCGGGUGUGAAAGCCCGGGGCUUAACCCCGGGUCUGCAUCCGAUACGGGCAGGCUAGAGUGUGGUAGGGGAGAUCGGAAUUCCUGGUGUAGCGGUGAAAUGCGCAGAUAUCAGGAGGAACACCGGUGGCGAAGGCGGAUCUCUGGGCCAUUACUGACGCUGAGGAGCGAAAGCGUGGGGAGCGAACAGGAUUAGAUACCCUGGUAGUCCA